AGAGUUUGAUCCUGGCUCAGGAUGAACGCUGGCGGCGUGCCUAACACAUGCAAGUCGAGCGAAGCGCAUUUGCGGAUUUCUUCGGAAUGAAGCGUUUGCGACUGAGCGGCGGACGGGUGAGUAACGCGUGGGGAACCUGCCUCAUACAGGGGGAUAACAGUUGGAAACGACUGCUAAUACCGCAUAAGCGCACGGGAACGCAUGUUUCUGUGUGAAAAGCCGAGACGGUAUGAGAUGGACCCGCGUUAGAUUAGCCAGUUGGCGGGGUAACGGCCCACCAAAGCGACGAUCUAUAGCCGGCCUGAGAGGGCGACCGGCCACAUUGGGACUGAGACACGGCCCAAACUCCUACGGGAGGCAGCAGUGGGGAAUAUUGCACAAUGGGGGAAACCCUGAUGCAGCGACGCCGCGUGAGCGAAGAAGUAUUUCGGUAUGUAAAGCUCUAUCAGCAGGGAAGAACAUGACGGUACCUGACUAAGAAGCCCCGGCUAACUACGUGCCAGCAGCCGCGGUAAUACGUAGGGGGCAAGCGUUAUCCGGAUUUACUGGGUGUAAAAGGGAGCGCAGACGGUUUUGCAAGUCUGGAGUGAAAACCCGGGGCUCAACCCCGGGACUGCUUUGGAAACUGUGGAACUGGAGUAUCGGAGGGGUAAGCGGAAUUCCUAGUGUAGCGGUGAAUGCGUAGAUAUUAGGAGGAACACCAGUGGCGAAGGCGGGCUUACUGGACGAUCACUGACGUUGGGGCUCGAAAGCGUGGGGAGCAAACAGGAUUAGAUACCCUGGUAGUCCACGCCUAAACG
RNAcentral lists this ribosomal RNA (800 nucleotides) under uncultured bacterium. RNAcentral's name for it is "bacterial SSU rRNA". It matches the Rfam family "Bacterial small subunit ribosomal RNA", at positions 8 to 808 of the family's 1533-position model. The record is from RNAcentral.